Molecule: ribosomal RNA, 97 nt
Filed under: Candidatus Zymogenus saltonus
Lineage: Bacteria; Deltaproteobacteria; Candidatus Zymogeniales; Candidatus Zymogenaceae
Description: Bacterial large subunit ribosomal RNA
Rfam family: Bacterial large subunit ribosomal RNA
Source: Rfam by way of RNAcentral
AAGGCCCCUUGUAGACUACAAGGUAUUAUAGGUCGGGUGUGUAAGCGCAGUAAUGCGCUCAGCUUACCGAUACUAAUCGGCCGUGAGGCUUGGCCAU